UUGGAGGGUAAUAUAUAAUAACAAAUCCUUCCAUGAGAUGCUUGUUCUUGCUCAGUUCAUGAGGAGGAUCAGAGGUGCUGGCAAGACUAAUCAACCUGAGGCUACUGAGAAACAAGAAACAAAGGUGCAGCUAGAGUAGACAGGGAAUAGAAUUUUCACAGCAAUCACAAGGAUAGGAAGCCCAAUAGCCAGUCUGCUCAGAAUUUAUUUACAGGCUGCUGUGUAAUGCUUUCCUCUGAGAUUGAAACAUUCCAUCCUUCAGGGAAGGAAGCUCCUUAAGCAGGAAGGAAAACAACUUAAAACAGCUUCAGGAAGUCUCUGGGACUGACCAAAUUCACUAGGCUCCUCCUUGGCAGAGUAAGCAAUAAAAUCUGAGAGUCUUAAGAUGAAGUGGAGCUGCAAAGAUGACUCUCAGACAAGCCAAGGUGCAAAGGAAACACUGAAACCAGACCAGCUGCCUUAAAGAAGCAGAAACCUGCUGAGCUGCCUAAAAGAGGUUGAGACUAACUGAGGCACCUGGAAAGGACACCCUCUAUCCUGUUGAGCUGCCUGUAGGCUGUGCAGUGUGUUCCAGGUUCCGAGCUUUGUGACCUGUCACCAUGAAGGGGUGGGAUUUGAUGAUGCCACUGACUUUGGGUCAUAUCUGCUCCUGUAAGUCAUCUCACACCCAUAUUCCUGUAAAAUUUUGUCAUACAACACAGGCCUACUGUGAAAUGAUGGUCAGAAACAAAGAAAUUAAUGUACCUCCAGGGAGAUCACAAACAGUCACGGAAAUAUGGUAUUAUACAAGAGGCAAAAUCAGCCAUCAAUGGCUAUAAGCCUACAUAUACAAGACAGCUUAUUAAAUUUGAAGAAAUUUCAGAGAUGCAAUUUAUAGACUAAUCAGAAUGAAAUCAUAAA
Molecule: long non-coding RNA, 900 nt
Organism: Peromyscus leucopus (white-footed mouse)
Lineage: Eukaryota; Metazoa; Chordata; Mammalia; Rodentia; Cricetidae
Exons: 2
Source: RefSeq, a predicted model, not a curated record